AGCUGGGCGAGGGAAGGAGGCUGCUCCAAAAGGCAUUGCUGCAGGGAGCCUCUGGGAGUUCCAGGUGAAGAGAUCUGCCUUGAUCUGGAGACCUCUGCUGAAAGUGAAGACCUCCUAACGAGCCAGACAGCCUUAACAGGAGCUCAGAAGUCUUACACCAAGAGCUGGAAAAGAGGAGCACAAGAGGGGUUUUGUGAAAUACAGCAAAAUCUAAUUACAGCUUGAUUUAAAGCCACAUUUACACAAUGGCUGAGGGGUGAGUUCACUUCCACAAAAACAAACUUGUUGGCUUCCUACUGUGCAUCGGGGAAUGUGAAGAUGCAUGUCCUGGAGAGCA
Molecule: long non-coding RNA, 337 nt
Filed under: Zonotrichia albicollis (white-throated sparrow)
Lineage: Eukaryota; Metazoa; Chordata; Aves; Passeriformes; Passerellidae
Description: lncRNA (ENSZALG00000004531.1)
Source: RNAcentral